This 431-nucleotide ribosomal RNA is filed under the name uncultured bacterium. RNAcentral describes it as "partial 16S ribosomal RNA". It matches the Rfam family "Bacterial small subunit ribosomal RNA", at positions 29 to 507 of the family's 1533-position model. The record is from RNAcentral.
AACGAACGCUGGCGGCAGGCCUAACACAUGCGAGUCGAGCGCCCUUUCGGGUGAGCGGCGGACGGGUGAGUAACGCGUGGGAAUAUGCCCUUCUCUACGGAAUAGCCUCGGGAAACUGAGAGUAAUACCGUAUACGCCCUGUGGGGGAAAGAUUUAUCGGGGAAGGAUUAGCCCGCGUUGGAUUAGGUAGUUGGUGGGGUAAUGGCCUACCAAGCCGACGAUCCAUAGCUGGUUUGAGAGGAUGAUCAGCCACACUGGGACUGAGACACGGCCCAGACUCCUACGGGAGGCAGCAGUGGGGAAUCUUAGACAAUGGGGGCAACCCUGAUCUAGCCAUGCCGCGUGAGUGAUGAAGGCCUUAGGGUUGUAAAGCUCUUUCAGCUGGGAAGAUAAUGACGGUACCAGCAGAAGAAGCCCCGGCUAACUCCGUG